GUACGUGAAACCGUUCAGGGGUAAAGCGGGAGAAAUCCUGAAUUCGAAUGGGAUGGAUUCACCUCUGCCUCGCAAAGGCCAUGUUUCGCCGGUGCUUACGGCCGCCCGCGGUGAUUAAUUUCUCUCGUGGUGUCGUAACCGUAACGCAUUCGGUCGGGACAUGUUGCUCUAGCCUUGGUAUGACGCGCACUUCCUCCCUAGUCGAAGCGUCGGACCCGUUGGGAGUCGGUCUAAGGCCCGGGAAGGCAGAUCACGUGUCCUGUGACGUUGUCGCGCGCAGGCUCGUGAACUCCUGGUGUCCUGGCCAACGCCCGACGGUAAUGUAGAGGAGUCGGUCCGCUGGAAAUUGUGAUAUAUGUAGCGUCCGGCCCGGCGCCCGCGCGUUGUCGGUUAUGUGAACCCCAGUGGGUCCGUGAAUGCACGGAACUGGAACUGGCAUCGCGUUGGGUCGUCGGUGACCUCGGACAGGAUCUGGUCUCCCGUCCCGACGAGCUCAUUCGGAUAC
RNAcentral lists this ribosomal RNA (505 nucleotides) under Asprenas sp. ASP7. Its description in RNAcentral is "partial 28S large subunit ribosomal RNA". The record is from RNAcentral. Lineage: Eukaryota; Metazoa; Arthropoda; Insecta; Phasmatodea; Phasmatidae.